RNAcentral lists this ribosomal RNA (1000 nucleotides) under Scraptia sp. COL332. RNAcentral describes it as "bacterial SSU rRNA". It matches the Rfam family "Eukaryotic small subunit ribosomal RNA", at positions 33 to 938 of the family's 1831-position model. The record is from RNAcentral. Lineage: Eukaryota; Metazoa; Arthropoda; Insecta; Coleoptera; Scraptiidae.
UGUCUCAAAGAUUAAGCCAUGCAUGUCUCAGUACAAGCCAAAUUAAGGUGAAACCGCGAAAGGCUCAUUAAAUCAGUUAUGGUUCCUUAGAUCGUACCCACAUUUACUUGGAUAACUGUGGUAAUUCUAGAGCUAAUACAUGCAAACAGAGCUCCGACCAGAAAUGGAAGGAGCGCUUUUAUUAGAUCAAAACCAAUCGGUGGCGGGUUCGCGCCCGUCAUCGUACAAUUUGGUGAUACUGAAUAACUUUAAGCUGAUCGCACGGUCUAGCACCGGCGACGCAUCUUUCAAAUGUCUGCCUUAUCAACUGUCGAUGGUAGGUUCUGCGCCUACCAUGGUUGUAACGGGUAACGGAGAAUCAGGGUUCGAUUCCGGAGAGGGAGCCUGAGAAACGGCUACCACAUCCAAGGAAGGCAGCAGGCGCGCAAAUUACCCACUCCCGGCACGGGGAGGUAGUGACGAAAAAUAACGAUACGGGACUCAUCCGAGGCCCCGUAAUCGGAAUGAGUACACUCUAAAUCCUUUAACGAGGAUCAAUUGGAGGGCAAGUCUGGUGCCAGCAGCCGCGGUAAUUCCAGCUCCAAUAGCGUAUAUUAAAGUUGUUGCGGUUAAAAAGCUCGUAGUCGAAUUUGUGUGCCGCGCCGCAGGUUCAUCGUUCGCGGUGUCAACUGGCGUGUUUGCGGUACGUCCGGCCGGUGGGCUUAGCUCUUGCAUUUCGUCUCUGGGUAAAACUGGUGCGGAUGUUGAGGGCGGCCCAAAUUAAUCCCGCCGCGGUGCUCUUCAUUGAGUGUCGAGGUGGGCCGGCACAUUUACUUUGAACAAAUUAGAGUGCUUAAAGCAGGCUAGAAUUUUGCCUGAAUAUGUGUGCAUGGAAUAAUAGAAUAGGACCUCGGUUCUAUUUUGUUGGUUUUCGGAACCCCGAGGUAAUGAUUAAUAGGAACGGAUGGGGGCAUUCGUAUUGCGACGUUAGAGGUGAAAUUCUUGGAUCGUCGCAAGACGG